Molecule: long non-coding RNA, 1972 nt
Organism: Heterocephalus glaber (naked mole-rat)
Lineage: Eukaryota; Metazoa; Chordata; Mammalia; Rodentia; Bathyergidae
Source: Ensembl
UCAGGCAAGGAGCCAUGCUGACAGUCUGGCAAAUGGGCUUCUGUUCCUACCAGUAACAAAGACUCUACUGUGUGCCCUCAGUGUUCUGAAGGAUGAAGAAACAUAGCGCGUUGGAAAAUAAGUUUGUUCAGACAAUUAAUCUACCCUGUCACCCAGUAAAUCUUUUUUUUUUUUUAAUCAAGAAUGCAGACCACUGACACUCUAGUUACUUCCAUGGAAGGGACCUGAAAGGAGUUAAGGUAUAGGCGCCUCGCCUCAGAAAAGCCUGAGAGCUCAAUUUACAAAGAAGAAUCGGUAGUUUUCUGAGAAGUAGUGGUGUGGCCGGCUUGGAGAAAUUACGAAGUCAAGUCCAUUUCUCCUUCCAUUUUGCCGGUGAGUUUUCCUUCCACUUUCGCUGGUGCUGGUGCUGGGCCAGUCUUUAGGACACAUAAGCAGGAAAUUCUGCAAAAGUGGCCCCUGGGGAUCCCUUUUUGACUCCCUUUUGUCGCUAAGCCGGGACUGUCUCUGGAAAUUUGAGACUGGGCCUUAGCCUGGAUUUGUUGCUGCUCCCCUUGCUACUGCUGACACUUGGCACCACAGUCCAAACAGACGCAGAGCGGGUCCCACGCCAUCUGAAGGAGCCCGGACAGUGUCACCCUCUCCACGGUGCUGGCCGGCCUGCCACCCACGCAGGGGAGCCUGGGCCUGCGCCCCUCUUCCGCACCCGCCCGCCGCAGAUGCGGGGAAAACCGCCUGACAUCAUGAGAGCAGGACAAACUCACUUUGAAGGAUUCCUGGGCAGGACUUCAAGUGAAAUCAUAUGCCUGAGAAGAACUUGAUACCGGUCUAGAGAAAAUAACUAGUUCUGACUUUGCCAAACCGUGGAAUGUGCAAAAUGCUCUACUUUUGUGCAAGGGGCCAAGUGUCCCUUAAAAAGCUCCAUUAUGAACGCGAAGGGGCAAGAAGCUGGUGCCGUUGUUGAACGUGGGGGAGAAGUACAAAAGGCGUGUGAGUUUCCGCUACUUGACGUUAUUUUAUUAGCAGUCUGUUCCACUUUGGGGAGGGUAUCUGCACCUGUGCAUGAACGAUUAUCUCUGCCUGUGCUCAGCGAGUAUAUGCACGCAACGGGGAAAUAUAUGGGGACAAAACAUUUACUGCUUUCUUGCCACUGAAGGCUAUCAAUCAAAAAAUGAAAAACAAAAGUAGUUAUUUGCACAGUAAAGGCAACAACGCAGUCAACAUUUUAGAAUUCAUCCAAGCCCCUAUAAUGGAAUACUUUCUGCUAGCAAAUGCAUUCUGGUUGAAAGGCGAAGCUGAAUCCAGCCACCUAACUAAAUGGAAAGAUUUAUUUUCUCAGUGAUAAAACAGGUGUGUUUGUAUCUUUUAAACAAAUGUAGGUAACAAAAAUAAAAUGAAAUGAAAUAAAAUGAGAGGAAAUAACGGUGGAGAAGAAGACACAGGUGGCUUUAUUUGUAUUCUAAAAAUGUUAUUUUGUCACUUGGUGAGAGGUAAGAAUAUAGACUUUGCAAGCUGAAAAUUAUAUUCAAGUAGCUAAUAUUUUCCACUGUGAAGUAUCCUCAAAGUAAAAAUAUUAACCACCUUUUGUUCCUUCAUUUAUUUCUCUUAAGACCUAAAGGAAAAUAUUUCCCGGUAUUUUGUAUUUAGUUACUCCACACAAAUGUGACACUUGCUUUUUUUCAGUUUCCUCUUAUGAAAAAAAAGUGGAAAAAGUAAAACAUUAAGGAAAAAAAGGCAAAUGGAAGACUACCUUCCUUUUUUUUAAACAUCUAGUUUUUACACCCAGAGUUAAGAUAGUGUUUACCUUCUCAGCAAUGAUGGUCAGCUCCCUCCUGAUGUAAUGUAGCUCAAGACAUCUGAAAUAUCAAAUAGUCAGACCAAACUAGUGAACAUGAAGAUUCCCCCCAUGAACAAUUUAGAAAAUGGAGGUGGUUGAUGAUACACAAAAGAGAGGAUUACCAUUCUGAUACUUUCC